GCCUGGUUGGCUCAGUUAGUGAAGCGUCUGACUUUGAUUCAGGUCAUGACCUCAUGGUUUGUGGGUUCAAGCCCCGCAUCAGGCU
Molecule: transfer RNA, 85 nt
Filed under: Felis catus (domestic cat)
Lineage: Eukaryota; Metazoa; Chordata; Mammalia; Carnivora; Felidae
Also listed under: 2 other names
Rfam family: tRNA
About the family: Transfer RNA (tRNA) molecules are approximately 80 nucleotides in length.
Source: Rfam by way of RNAcentral